Molecule: unclassified non-coding RNA, 304 nt
Filed under: uncultured fungus
Lineage: Eukaryota; Fungi
Description: sequence contains ITS1
Rfam family: 5.8S ribosomal RNA (bases 1-105)
Source: RNAcentral
GAAAUGCGAUAAGUAAUGUGAAUUGCAGAAUUCCGUGAAUCAUCGAAUCUUUGAACGCACAUUGCGCCCCCUGGUAUUCCGGGGGGCAUGCCUGUUCGAGCGUCAUUUCAACCCUCAAGCACUGCUUGGUGUUGGGCCAUGCCGGGUUUCCGGGCAGGCUCCAAAGUCAGUGGCGGCGCCGCUCUAGGCUCCACGCGCAGUAAUUUUUCUCGCGUCAGGAGGCCCGGGCGGCUUGCUUGCCAGUCGAACCCCCCAAUUUUCUCAGGUUGACCUCGGAUCAGGUAGGGAUACCCGCUGAACUUAA